CUUGCAUCUGUGCAGUUCAGCGCCCAAGUUGCUCAGCAUAUUUUUAUGCACUUCUGGCUUUCCUCCUGGCAGGCACAGCUUGAGUUUUGGGGAUGCUCCUUUGCUUUUGUGUGGCAUUUACAACUCCACCGCRCCAGCAUCGUCUUCCUGCAGAUCAGCGUGACAGCGUGGAGUCCCCGGCGUGGGUGCUGGCCCUCAGCUGCCUGCUGCCUUUGGGCAGUGAAGGUUGCCAGCUCCUCGAGGCUCUGCAGGGUUACUACAAGGAGAGCUGCACGGGAGAAGCAGUAGGGCGCACGGUUACUUCUGCUUUUGAUGCUCCUCAAUGCUGGGCGACAGAACCAGAUUUGCAGUAAGGACUGGUAGGUCCGUGUUGGUUUUUGUCAUUUUWAAAUGUACUUAGAGGGUAAAAAACCAGCAGGGCCUGCAAGAUGCACAAUGGAGUUUGCUCCUAUGUUCUGACAAAUGUUACUGGGAUAAUAUUUGUGUGUUACUCUAAUACUAGCUCAUCAGGCUGUGCGUCAUUUACCUAAACUUGUUAUGCUUGGGGUUCUGCAGACUGCUGGACAGCAGGGUAACUCCCCACCUCCGAAACCGUACAGACUAAACACAAGAUAAGAGCCAGCAGAUGGAUUUUCCGACGGGGAAGAGACGACACGAUAUCGCUCAGCUUUGCCAGAGCACAGCAGCAGCCUGUUCYCCACAAAGGGUGACCUUGAUGGUGGGUGUGGAGGAGAAGGACAAGGACAAGGCAG
This 752-nucleotide long non-coding RNA is filed under the name Dromaius novaehollandiae (emu). RNAcentral describes it as "lncRNA (ENSDNVG00000010164.1)". The record is from RNAcentral. Lineage: Eukaryota; Metazoa; Chordata; Aves; Casuariiformes; Dromaiidae.